Molecule: ribosomal RNA, 253 nt
Filed under: uncultured bacterium
Lineage: Bacteria
Description: partial 16S ribosomal RNA
Rfam family: Bacterial small subunit ribosomal RNA
Source: RNAcentral
UACAGAGGGUGCAAGCGUUAAUCGGAAUUACUGGGCGUAAAGCGCACGUAGGUGGUUUGCUAAGCCAGCUGUGAAAUCCCCGGGCUCAACCUGGGCACUGCAGUUGGAACUGGCAAGCUAGAGUAGGGUAGAGGGGUGUGGAAUUCCAGGUGUAGCGGUGAAAUGCGUAGAUAUCUGGAGGAACAUCAGUGGCGAAGGCGACACCCUGGACUGAUACUGACACUGAGGUGCGAAAGCGUGGGGAGCAAACAGG